GCUGGGGCUCAGGGGUAGGGUGCUCACCUAGCACCUGUGAGGUCCUCGGUUUGAUCCUUAGCCCAACA
Molecule: transfer RNA, 68 nt
Filed under: Marmota monax (woodchuck)
Lineage: Eukaryota; Metazoa; Chordata; Mammalia; Rodentia; Sciuridae
Description: tRNA.Ala
Source: RNAcentral